Molecule: ribosomal RNA, 446 nt
Filed under: uncultured bacterium
Lineage: Bacteria
Description: bacterial SSU rRNA
Rfam family: Bacterial small subunit ribosomal RNA
Source: RNAcentral
CCAGACUCCUACGGGAGGCAGCAGUGGGGGAUAUUGCACAAUGGGGGGAACCCUGAUGCAGCGACGCCGCGUGGGUGAAGAAGCGCCUCGGCGCGUAAAGCCCUGUCAGCAGGGAAGAAAAUGACGGUACCUGAAGAAGAAGCCCCGGCUAACUACGUGCCAGCAGCCGCGGUAAUACGUAGGGGGCAAGCGUUAUCCGGAUUUACUGGGUGUAAAGGGAGCGUAGACGGCAGCGCAAGUCUGGAGUGAAAUCCCAUGGCUUAACCAUGGAACUGCUUUGGAAACUGUGCAGCUGGAGUGCAGGAGAGGUAAGCGGAAUUCCUAGUGUAGCGGUGAAAUGCGUAGAUAUUAGGAGGAACACCAGUGGCGAAGGCGGCCUGCUGGACAGUAACUGACGUUGAGGCUCGAAAGCGUGGGGAGCAAACAGGAUUAGAUACCCGCGUAGC